GACGAACGCUGGCGGCGUGCCUAAUACAUGCAAGUUGAGCGCUGAAGGUUGGUACUUGUACCAACUGGAUGAGCAGCGAACGGGUGAGUAACGCGUGGGGAAUCUGCCUUUGAGCGGGGGACAACAUUUGGAAACGAAUGCUAAUACCGCAUAAAAACUUUAAACACAAGUUUUAAGUUUGAAAAAUGCAAUUGCAUCACUCAAAGAUGAUUCCGCGUUGUAUUAGCUAGUUGGUGAGGUAAAGGCUCACCAAGGCGAUGAUACAUAGCCGACCUGAGAGGGUGAUCGGCCACAUUGGGACUGAGACACGGCCCAAACUCCUACGGGAGGCAGCAGUAGGGAAUCUUCGGCAAUGGACGAAAGUCUGACCGAGCAACGCCGCGUGAGUGAAGAAGGUUUUCGGAUCGUAAAACUCUGUUGGUAGAGAAGAACGUUGGUGAGAGUGGAAAGCUCAUCAAGUGACGGUAACUACCCAGAAAGGGACGGCUAACUACGUG
RNAcentral lists this ribosomal RNA (497 nucleotides) under uncultured bacterium. RNAcentral's name for it is "partial 16S ribosomal RNA". It matches the Rfam family "Bacterial small subunit ribosomal RNA", at positions 28 to 507 of the family's 1533-position model. The record is from RNAcentral.